AAUAUCAGCACUGUUAAUAAUAUUGAUAACCGAGAUGAGUGCAGAGCAGCCGGUGGCUCGGGAGAGGAGCGGACACACGGCGGCGGACAGUAUCUGUAUGUCUGGGGCGGUUAUGUGUCGGUGGCAGAUCAUGAAGUUUUUCUUCCAAAUGAGAGCUCUGGUUGUACUACUUACAAAAUGGGUUGUGGGAACGGCGGGACAUGUGUGGGACGGUUCCUCCGGCGAUGCGUGGGACCUGCGGCUGCAUUGUGAACGAGGAGCUGUUUAUAUUCGGCGGCUGCUGUGAUGAUGGACAGACUAAUUAACUUUACUCCGUCAGCCUGCAGGACGAGAGGUUCAGCUGGACGAGAGUGACGCUUCGGUCCGGAUCGCUGCCGUCGCCGUGAGAUAAACUCUCCUGCUGGGUUCAUGAAGGAAGAAUCAUCUACUUUGGUGGAUAUGGCCACAAACCGCUGAGUGCAAUCCACGAUCCGAAGAGCUUCAUUGUGGAUGAAGCAUCAUGGGCCGAGGACAUCUUCUGGGGAUGGAACAAUGAAGUUCAUGAGUUUGAUCCGGAAAGAAGCAGAUGGACCGAACCGCAGACCUUCGGACGAGCUCCUCCCCCGCGAGCCGCUCACGCUAGCGCUAGCAUCGGCAGCAAAGGCUACGUGUGCGGUGGAAGAAUAAAGGAAACUAGAACAAGUGACGAGUUUUUUCUGGAUUUAAAUUCAUGGACAUGGUCAGAAAUAGUUGGGUUGGGUCUAGCACCUGUGGGACGCUCAUGGCACACGCUAACAGCCGUGUCUGAUACGUCUCUUUCUGUUCGGUGGACUCAGACCCAUGAGUGACGGCUGGAUGUUUAAUCUGGAGACAAAAGGAUGGACAGAGAUGGAGCAUCAAAACAAGGACAAACCGCGUCUGUGGCACACUGCGUGUCAAGGAAGAGACUCAAAUGUUGUAGUGUUUUGAGGAAGUCAUGAUUAUAUCCUUUUAGUGGACAAAGGCCACUGCAACGAUGCGCUUGUUUUCCAGACUCAGCCGCAGCCGCUGAUGCGG
Sinocyclocheilus anshuiensis is the source of this 1035-nucleotide long non-coding RNA. RefSeq lists it as uncharacterized. Lineage: Eukaryota; Metazoa; Chordata; Actinopteri; Cypriniformes; Cyprinidae. The record is from RefSeq and is a predicted model, not a curated record. The transcript is spliced from 12 exons.